This is a long non-coding RNA of Leucoraja erinaceus (little skate), 1008 nucleotides long. RefSeq lists it as uncharacterized. The transcript has 3 exons. Lineage: Eukaryota; Metazoa; Chordata; Chondrichthyes; Rajiformes; Rajidae. The record is from RefSeq and is a predicted model, not a curated record.
UUUAAAAACUUUAUUGGCAUGAUAAAAACAUUGUUAUAUUGCCAAAGUGUAAAACAUGACAUACAUGUUUAAAAUGCAUAAGUAUAAAUACAAGUAUACAGUGCAUGGAUAGAUAUGUCCCUGUACAUAAACUCGCGAUACACCUAUAGCCCUUUAUUGAUUGAUCUACUGACCAAAGAUCCUACAGGAUCUUUGUUACCGACCACACACACACAAACACAUUGCGAAGGUGGGGGCCAGGGACAGUGGAGGAGCGUUGUCUGCGCGAUGAAGAGGAAGGUAAACGGCUGCCACAGAGCACGGACAAAGACCUCCCUCCUCACAUCCUUGAGCAGAAGUCAUCAUGCUGAACAGGUUUGGUGAUUUAUCCACUGCCAUCUUCCAUCUCUGCCUAAGGCAAACAAGCCUAUUUGAUGGUCUUCCUGCAAUUGUGCCUGAUCUCUAAUAUGUGAUGUCCUCAACAAAAUUGUGAUCUUGUCUGACUGCGUCGUAGGGCCACAGAGCUUUGCCCCAUCUUGUCUAAAUCAACUAUCAAUCGCCCGUCUACCCUAAACUCAUUUACCAACAGACCAGCCUUCAUCAUUGGUCAUUCAUGUGCACACCUAAAUAUGUCUUAAAUGUCAUACAAGUACCCACUUCCACCACCCUCUCCAGAUACCAAUCAGUCUAAAGUUGAAAAGAAUUCUACCUCAUAUCCUCUCUCAAUGCUUCAUCUUUAAGCUAAUCCCACAUCCUCUCUAUUUUGACACUUAUGUUAUGUGGAAACAUUACCCACUAUCUACCCUGCCUAAUGUUAUAUACCUCAAUCAGGUCCCCACCAAGGAUAACAAUUCCAGCGUAUCCAGUCUCUUCUCACAAGUGAAAUGCUGUCACAUCCUGGUGAAUCUCCUCAGCACCCUCUUCACAAAGCAAGAGAAUGUACAAUAAAUUGGAGGACACUGAAAGCCAUGGAGAAACAGAGGGAGCUUGCAGUUUAUGUUGCCAGGUCUUUCAAAUUGCAGGACAGCU